AGUGAACGCUGGCGGUAGGCCUAACACAUGCAAGUCGAACGGCAGCACAGUAAGAGCUUGCUCUUACGGGUGGCGAGUGGCGGACGGGUGAGGAAUACAUCGGAAUCUACUUUUUCGUGGGGGAUAACGUAGGGAAACUUACGCUAAUACCGCAUACGACCUACGGGUGAAAGCAGGGGAUAUUCGGACCUUGCGCGAUUGAAUGAGCCGAUGUCGGAUUAGCUGGUUGGGGGGGUAAAGGCCCACCCAGGCGGGGAUCCGUAGCUGGUCUGGGUGGAUGGUCGGCCACCUGAGAACGUGGACACCGUCCAUGCUCCUGCGGGACGCAGCAGUGGGGUAUGGUGGACAGUGGGGGCGAGCCUGAUCCAGCCAUCCCGCGUGUGUUGAGGAGGCCUUCCGGUCGUAAUGCCCGUUUGUUGGGAGAGAACAGCAGCAGGUUAAGACCCAGCUGUACUGACGGUACCCAAUGAAUAAGCACCGGCUAACUUCGUG
RNAcentral lists this ribosomal RNA (492 nucleotides) under uncultured bacterium. RNAcentral's name for it is "partial 16S ribosomal RNA". It matches the Rfam family "Bacterial small subunit ribosomal RNA", at positions 28 to 507 of the family's 1533-position model. The record is from RNAcentral.